ACAAACAGAUACAGAAAUCAAUGAAAGAGAGAAUGGAAUUAUAAGUU
RNAcentral lists this non-coding RNA (47 nucleotides) under Trypanosoma brucei brucei. The record is from RNAcentral. Lineage: Eukaryota; Euglenozoa; Kinetoplastea; Trypanosomatida; Trypanosomatidae.